GAAGUGGGGAUGACGUCAAGUCCUCAUGGCCUUUAUGACCAGGGCUACACACGUACUACAAUGGCCGGUACAAAGGGCAGCGACACAGCGAUGUGAAGCGAAUCCCGAAAAGCCGGUCUCAGUCCGGAUUGGAGUCUGCAACUCGACUCCAUGAAGUUGGAAUCGCUAGUAAUCGCGGAUCAGCACGCCGCGGUGAAUACGUUCCCGGGCCUU
This 213-nucleotide ribosomal RNA is filed under the name uncultured Desulfocapsa sp. Its description in RNAcentral is "partial 16S ribosomal RNA". It matches the Rfam family "Bacterial small subunit ribosomal RNA", at positions 1170 to 1382 of the family's 1533-position model. The record is from RNAcentral. Lineage: Bacteria; Pseudomonadati; Thermodesulfobacteriota; Desulfobulbia; Desulfobulbales; Desulfocapsaceae.